GGUCGCAUGCCCGAGUGGUCAGGGGCCCGCCUGCAAAGCGGUGUACGCCGGUUCGAAUCCGGCUGCGGCUUC
RNAcentral lists this transfer RNA (72 nucleotides) under Paractinoplanes brasiliensis. Its description in RNAcentral is "Actinoplanes brasiliensis tRNA-Cys". It matches the Rfam family "tRNA". From Rfam's summary of the family: Transfer RNA (tRNA) molecules are approximately 80 nucleotides in length. Their secondary structure includes four short double-helical elements and three loops (D, anti-codon, and T loops). The record is from RNAcentral. Lineage: Bacteria; Bacillati; Actinomycetota; Actinomycetes; Micromonosporales; Micromonosporaceae.